Molecule: ribosomal RNA, 484 nt
Filed under: uncultured bacterium
Lineage: Bacteria
Description: bacterial SSU rRNA
Rfam family: Bacterial small subunit ribosomal RNA
Source: RNAcentral
GGCUCAGAUUGAACGCUGGCGGCAUGCUUUACACAUGCAAGUCGAACGGUAACAGGUUAAGCUGACGAGUGGCGAACGGGUGAGUAAUGCAUCGGAACGUGCCCGGUCGUGGGGGAUAACGCAGCGAAAGCUGCGCUAAUACCGCAUACGAUCUGAGGAUGAAAGCGGGGGACCGUAAGGCCUCGCGCGAUCGGAGCGGCCGAUGUCAGAUUAGCUAGUUGGUGAGGUAAUGGCUCACCAAGGCGACGAUCCGUAACUGGUCUGAGAGGAUGAUCAGUCACACUGGAACUGAGACACGGUCCAGACUCCUACGGGAGGCAGCAGUGGGGAAUAUUGGACAAUGGGCGAAAGCCUGAUCCAGCCAUGCCGCGUGUGUGAAGAAGGUCUUCGGAUUGUAAAGCACUUUAAGUUGGGAGGAAGGGCAGUAACCUAAUACGUUAUUGUUUUGACGUUACCGACAGAAUAAGCACCGGCUAACUUCGUG